This 313-nucleotide unclassified non-coding RNA is filed under the name uncultured fungus. Its description in RNAcentral is "partial contains 18S rRNA, ITS1, 5.8S rRNA, ITS2 and 28S rRNA". The record is from RNAcentral. Lineage: Eukaryota; Fungi.
AGGGAUCAUUACAGAGUUCGUGCCCUCACGGGUAGAUCUCCCACCCUGUGUUAUUAUACCUUUGUUGCUUUGGCGGGCCGCCCUCGGCUACCGGCCCCGGCUGGUACGCGCCCGCCAGAGGACCCCAAACUCUGAAUGUUAGUGUCGUCUGAGUACUAUACAAUAGUUAAAACUUUCAACAACGGAUCUCUUGGUUCUGGCAUCGAUGAAGAACGCAGCGUAGCCACACCGAUGUGGAAGUAAAAGUCGUAACAAGGCAUCGAUGAAGAACGCAGCGUAGCCACAUCGAUGUGGAAGUAAAAGUCGUAACAAG